This 26-nucleotide non-coding RNA is filed under the name Mus musculus (house mouse). The record is from RNAcentral. Lineage: Eukaryota; Metazoa; Chordata; Mammalia; Rodentia; Muridae.
UCACAGAUGGUUUGUACUGAGAUGUC